This 173-nucleotide ribosomal RNA is filed under the name Aloe aculeata. Its description in RNAcentral is "5.8S ribosomal RNA". The record is from RNAcentral. Lineage: Eukaryota; Viridiplantae; Streptophyta; Magnoliopsida; Asparagales; Asphodelaceae.
UUCCAUUAYUGGUUUGAAUUGCGAAUCCCCCGAACCUUCARUUUUUUAAACGCAAUUKGSCCCGGGGCCCCCCCGCCGGGGGCCAGCCCGCCUGGGGGGCCAGCCCUGGGGUGGUUCGCCUACCUUGCCCAUGAGCACCCCGUGCUCUUACGGCGGCGGGCGGCGGAUGCGGA